This 2847-nucleotide ribosomal RNA is filed under the name Halobellus limi. RNAcentral describes it as "23S ribosomal RNA". It matches the Rfam family "Archaeal large subunit ribosomal RNA". Lineage: Archaea; Methanobacteriati; Methanobacteriota; Halobacteria; Halobacteriales; Haloferacaceae. The record is from RNAcentral.
CUGGUGAAUGGCUCGGCUCGAGAGCCGACGACGGACGUGCCAAGCUGCGAAAAGCCCGAGGGAGUCGCACGGAGACUAAGAACUCGGGAUCUCCGAAUGGGAAUCCCCACCGCAAUUGCUUCGCGCAAUGGGGAACGCUCCGAAUUGAAACAUCUCAGUAGGAGCAGGAACAGAAAGCAAACGCGAUGUCGUUACUAACCGCGAGUGAACGCGACACAGUCCAAACCGAAUCCCUCACGGGAAAUGUGGUGUUCGGACUGGUCACAACGAAACACAACUUCACGAGAAAUCUCCUGGAACGGAGUACGACACAGGGUGACAGUCCCGUAUCGUGAACGCGUGUUUCCGGACCAACUCCAGAGUAGCGGGGAUUGGAUAUUCCUCGUGACUACCGCAGGCAUCAACUGCGAAGACUAAAUCACUCCUCGAGACCGAUAGCGAACAAGUAGCGUGAGCGAACGCUGAAAAGCACCCCGAACAGGGCGGUGCAAUAGGGCCUGAACUCAGUCAGUGAUAGAACGACGAGGCAUACAAGGUCCUCGAAUAAACGACCGUGGGGCGACCCACCAGUAGGACUUCGAGGAAGCCGGUGUCGCGUCGUGCGUUUUGAAAAACGACCCAGGGAGUGCAUUAUCGAGGCAAGCCUAACCGGAUCAUCCGGGCAGGCACAGGGAAACCGAUAUGGCCGCAGUCCUUCCGGACCAGGGCCGCCGUGUUCAAGCGCGGGGAGUCCCGAUGAUGCGACCCGAAACCGAGUGAUCUACGCGCGAGCAAGGUGAAGCGUGGCGAAAGCUGCGUGGAGGCCUGAAGGGAUGGUGUCCUACAAUACCCUCCUCUGACUCGUGCGUAGGGGUGAAAGGCCCAUCGAACUCGGCAACAGCUGGUUCCAGCCGAAACAUGUCGAAGCAUGACCUCGACCGAGGUAGUCUGCGAGGUAGAGCGACCGAUUGGAAGUCCCGCCUCCGAGAGGAGUCGGCCUUCCUGUCAAACUCCGAACUUGCAGACGCCACAGACGUCGGGAAUCCGGUAUGCGGGGUAAGCCUGUGUACCGUGAGGGAGACAACCCAGAGCCGGGUUAAGGUCCCCAAGUGUAGAUUAAGUGCGAUCGAAGGUGGUCUCGAGCCCUAAACAGCCGGGAGGUGAGCUUAGAAGCAGCUACCCUCUAAGAAAAGCGUAACAGCUUACCGGCCGAGGUUCGAGGCGCCCAAAAUGAUCGGGGCUCAAAUCUACCACCGAGACCUGGCAGCGUCCUUCACCGGACGACCUAGUAGGCUUGGCGUACUGUACGGGCGGAAGCACGGGCGAGAGCUCGCGUGGACCGUAUAGUAACGAAAAUCCUGGUCACAGUAGCAGCGAGAGUCGGGUGAGACCCCCGACGGCCAAACGAGCAAGGGUUCCUCGGCACUGCUAAUCAGCCGAGGGUUAGUCGGUCCUAAGUCCCGCCGUAAUUCGACCGGGACAACCAGGGAAACUGGUUAAUAUUCCAGUACCACCGUGCAUAUUGUCGACGCUUUGGGAAACAGCGAGCGGGGCCUUCGCCCCGUCGAAUCGUGGAACAUCGUGGAAACCGUAACGGUACGAAGCGAUCGAAUCACGAGACAGCGCAAGUCGCUGGUACCGAGAGCCCGUGAAAAGACGCACGGCGACCGUACCGAGAUCCGACACAGGUGCUCAGGCAGCGAAAGCCACGGCCCGUCGGGAGCAACCGGCGUUAGGGAAUUCGGCAAGUUAGUCCCGUACCUUCGGAAGAAGGGAUACCUGCUUUUGACCGAGCAGGUCGCAGUGACUCGGACGCUCCGACUGUCUAGUAACAACAUAGGUGACCGCAAAUCCGCAAGGACUCGUACGGUCACUGAAUCCUGCCCAGUGCGGGUAUCUGAACACCUCGUACAAGAGGACGAAGGACCCGUCAACGGCGGGGGUAACUAUGACCCUCUUAAGGUAGCGUAGUACCUUGCCGCUUCAGUAGCGGCUUGCAUGAAUGGAUCAACGAGAGCGUCACUGUCCCAACGCUGGGCCCGGUGAACUGUACGUUCCAGUGCGGAGUCUGGAGACCCCCAAGGGGAAGCGAAGACCCUAUAGAGCUUUACUGCAGGCUGUCGCUGAGACGUGGUCGCUGAUGUGCAGCAUAGGUAGGAGUCGUUACAGAGGUACCCGCGCUAGCGGGCCACCCAGACACAAGUGAAAUACUACCCGUUAGUGACUGCGACUCUCACUCCUGGCGGAGGACACCGGUAGCCGGGCAGUUUGACUGGGGCGGUACGCGCUCGAAAAGAUAUCGAGCGCGCCCAAAGAUUUCCUCACCCGGGUCGGAAACCCGGAGAAGAGCGCAAGAGCACACGGAAGUCUGACAGUGAUCUUCCCAACGAGGAUCGCUGACGCGAAAGCGUGGUCUAGCGAACCAACGAGGCUCCUGGAUGGGGCCCGUUGAUGACAGAAAAGCUACCUUAGGGAUAACAGAGUCGUCACUCGCAAGAGCACAUAUCGACCGAGUGGCUUGCUACCUCGAUGUCGGUUCCCUCCAUCCUGCCUGUGCAGAAGCAGGCAAGGGUGAGGUUGUUCGCCUAUUAAAGGAGGUCGUGAGCUGGGUUUAGACCGUCGUGAGACAGGUCGGCUGCUAUCUAUUGGGGGUGUUUUGGUACUUGAGAGGAACGGUCGUAUAGUACGAGAGGAACUACGACUGGGUGCCGCUGGUGUAUCGGUUGUCCGAGAGGGCAGAUGCCGAGCAGCCACGCACCACGGGGUAAGAGCUGAACGCAUCUAAGCUCGAAACCCACCUCAAAAAGAAGUACCACCGAGGACACUCGUAGAAGACGAGUUAGAUAGACUCGGGGUGUACGCACCGAG